This 116-nucleotide microRNA precursor is filed under the name Manihot esculenta (cassava). Its description in RNAcentral is "miR169aa stem-loop (mes-MIR169aa)". Its record names the gene mes-MIR169aa. The record is from miRBase by way of RNAcentral. Lineage: Eukaryota; Viridiplantae; Streptophyta; Magnoliopsida; Malpighiales; Euphorbiaceae.
GUUUGGUAGCCAAGGAUGACUUGCCUGCAACUUCAUUGGAAGAGAAUUUUUAUAUAUAGAGGCAGAAAAGUCUUGUUUUAUUUGUUGUAGUAGGUGGUCUCCUUGGCUAAUCUGAC